GUAGGUGGCAAGCGUUGUCCGGAAUUAUUGGGCGUAAAGCGCGCGCAGGCGGUUUUUUUAAGUCUGAUGUGAAAGCCCACGGCUCAACCGUGGAGGGUCAUUGGAAACUGGAGAACUUGAGUACAGAAGAGGAAAGCGGAAUUCCACGUGUAGCGGUGAAAUGCGUAGAGAUGUGGAGGAACACCAGUGGCGAAGGCGGCUUUCUGGUCUGUAACUGACGCUGAGGCGCGGAAGCGUGGGGAGCAAACAGGGAUUAGAUACCCUGGUAGUCCACGCCGUAAACGAUGAGUGCUAAGUGUUAGGGGUUUCCCGCCCCUUAGUGCUGCAGCUAACGCAUUAAGCACUCCGCCUGGGGAGUACGGCCGCAAGGCUG
RNAcentral lists this ribosomal RNA (373 nucleotides) under uncultured organism. Its description in RNAcentral is "partial 16S ribosomal RNA". It matches the Rfam family "Bacterial small subunit ribosomal RNA", at positions 527 to 896 of the family's 1533-position model. The record is from RNAcentral.